This 497-nucleotide ribosomal RNA is filed under the name uncultured bacterium. RNAcentral describes it as "partial 16S ribosomal RNA". It matches the Rfam family "Bacterial small subunit ribosomal RNA", at positions 28 to 507 of the family's 1533-position model. The record is from RNAcentral.
GAUGAACGCUGGCGGCGUGCCUAAUACAUGCAAGUCGAGCGAACAGAUAAGGAGCUUGCUCCUUUGACGUUAGCGGCGGACGGGUGAGUUACACGUGGAUAACCUACCUAUAAGACUGGGAUAACUUCGGGAAACCGGAGCUAAUACCGGAUAACAUAUUGAACCGCAUGGUUCAAUAGUGAAAGGCGGCUUUGCUGUCACUUAUAGAUGGAUCCGCGCCGUAUUAGCUAGUUGGUAAGGUAACGGCUUACCAAGGCAACGAUACGUAGCCGACCUGAGAGGGUGAUCGGCCACACUGGAACUGAGACACGGUCCAGACUCCUACGGGAGGCAGCAGUAGGGAAUCGUCCGCAAUGGGCGAAAGCAUGACGGAGCAACGCCGCGUGAGUGAUGAAGGUCUUCGGAUCGUAAAACUCUGUUAUCAGGGAAGAACAAAUGUGUAAGUAACUGUGCACAUCUUGACGGUACCUGAUCAGAAAGCCACGGCUAACUACGUG